UCUUGGAGGAGAGCAGUUUUGCAACUUUGUUCCCAAAAUCUAGAGAGGCUUACUUGAAAGAGUGCUGGCCUUUGGUACAGAAGAGCCUUGAAUGAACAUCACAUUAAUGCAAUCCUGGACCUGAUCAAGGGCAAUAUGACUGUACGACAAAGAAGACUUUUGAUCCAUAUAUCAUCAUUAGGGCCAGAGACCUAAUUAAAACUUUUAGCAAGAAGUGUAUCAUUUGAACAGGCUUU
RNAcentral lists this long non-coding RNA (236 nucleotides) under Canis lupus dingo (dingo). Its description in RNAcentral is "lncRNA (ENSCAFG00020006854.1)". The record is from RNAcentral. Lineage: Eukaryota; Metazoa; Chordata; Mammalia; Carnivora; Canidae.